GUAGCCUGCGAAAAGCUUCGGGGAGCUGGCAAACAAGCUUUGAUCCGGAGAUGUCCGAAUGGGGAAACCCGGCCCGUAUGGGUCAUCCCUGACUGAAUCCAUAGGUCAGGGAAGCGAACGCGGCGAACUGAAACAUCUAAGUAGCUGCAGGAACAGAAAUCAACCGAGAUUCCCAAAGUAGUGGCGAACGAAAUGGGAAGAGCCUUGCACUCUUUAGCAGGACUGUUAGCAAAACGGGAUGGAAAGCCCGGCCAUAGCAGGUGAUAGCCCUGUAUGCGAAAACAGACUUGUGGAACUAGGUGUGCGACAAGUAGGGCGGGACACGUGAAAUCCUGUCUGAAGAUGGGGGGACCAUCCUCCAAGGCUAAAUACUCGUGAUCGACCGAUAGU
This 390-nucleotide ribosomal RNA is filed under the name Cupriavidus sp. mpp1.3. RNAcentral's name for it is "bacterial LSU rRNA". It matches the Rfam family "Bacterial large subunit ribosomal RNA", at positions 61 to 491 of the family's 2925-position model. Lineage: Bacteria; Pseudomonadati; Pseudomonadota; Betaproteobacteria; Burkholderiales; Burkholderiaceae. The record is from RNAcentral.